GAAACACUGGUUCUCUUACGAUCACUUAAGUUAAGCAAAGUCGAGCCUGGUCAGUACCUAGAUGGAUGACCUCUAGGAACGACCAGGUGCUGUAAG
Non-coding RNA from Acanthosepion pharaonis, 96 nucleotides. NCBI's taxonomy places the organism in Eukaryota, Metazoa, Mollusca, Cephalopoda, Sepiida, Sepiidae. The record is from the annotation of a GenBank genome assembly.